AUUUCAAGAGUGCUUCUGAUUGGGAGCUCAUGGAACGUAGCAGCUUCCAAGGUAUCUGGAUCUUUGAAAAGAAAAGAAAGAGGUGGAAAGGAGGUAGGAUUGUAGAUGGUGGUGAUUCACUCACCAGGGUGUAACACAGAUGCUUCCUACAUACCUGCUUGCAAAAUUCUGCAGUGGUAAGUAAAAUAAACGUCUGUUUUCUAAAAGGAAAUUGACAUCAGAAAAUUGCGGUGCUGUUAGAUUGAGUUGCUAGGUUCUUUGGAUAGAAUUAAGGAAAUUUAAACCACAUGAGUGUAUGAGAUCCAAAUUUUCCAUUAAAGUUGUAACUCGACUUCUUGCCUGUGUAAUUAGUUUAGAAAUCCAAUAUCCUACCUUUUCAUAAAUCUAACUCAACUACAACAAAAUUGAUUUUGUAAUGACUAUACCCCACGAGGACAUGAAUAAUACAUUCAUACAAUCCUUCUUGAUUAAAAUAUCCCAUGAAGUGCUAACAACCUGAUUUUAGAUUUCAUGACUGCAGAAAACCAAAAAAUGGAAGGAAAAAGAAAAGUUUCCCAUCAAUAAAACCUGCAAAGGGAUUGUGACUGUUAGGAAAAUGCUCAGGAAGUAUUUCCCUGAGGAAAGUAGUUAGAAAAAUGUGUUUUGAAAAAAUGUAUUUUGUGUAUUAAGUUCCAAGUACAGCCGUCGAGUUAGAUGCAGACCUCUGGCUGUUGUCCAGAGGACUUAGGAAGAUGGGAAGUAUGGAUAGUCCUGUCCUAUACCCAGUGCUGAGCCUUUCUCCAAGGGACCUGUUUCUUUUCCUGGCACAUACAAAGAAAGAAGAGCAAGGAUCGCUGUUCAGAAAUCCUGUGUGGCAAUCACUGUGUUUUCUUGGCCACAAAAAAGCACUGAAGCCCAGAGCGCAAACUAAGAGCUCAACAAUAACAAAGUAGGAGAGCAUGAAAUUCGGCUAAUUAGAAUGAGCUGCACAUUACUUCACAGAGACAUUGUCACGUGAUUCUACGAUUCUUUGCCUUGCAUUGGGAACCAGACAGAGGCUGAGCACUCUGAGAGGACAUAUGUAAGCAUUCAUCAGGUAUGUUUUUUUAUUAUUUUUAUUUUUCAUUCUUAGUGGAAUCUGAAGUUUUGAAAUUUUCUGUGUUUUAUCCGAGCCUCUAAGAUACCUCAUGACUUUAUGUACAUCUUAAUAGUUUUGCAUUUCAACUGGAUUGGUGCGUGUGUGAAAGCAAGCAGUAGCAAUUUAAAAUGUAACAGAUAAGGAUGUGUGAUUGCAACUGCAUCCCAAAGUUCACUAAGAAAUCUCGAUAAAGUAGAAGAAUAACAUUUCUGUUAAGGGUUGUUUUCCUGUCACAUUCAGUCUCCUUCUUUAGGCACAGACACUUGAGUGGUGCCAGCAGAUUUGUCACUAUAAGUAAUGCCUUCCUGCCUGUAUAGCACUUAUCUUCCCUGCCACAGCUCAUUGCGUUUUUUCUUAAUUGAAUUUGUAAACCUUCUGGGAUGGUUUCACACAAAC
Molecule: long non-coding RNA, 1513 nt
Organism: Gallus gallus (chicken)
Lineage: Eukaryota; Metazoa; Chordata; Aves; Galliformes; Phasianidae
Source: Ensembl